CACUUUUCCAUGAACCUGGUGAACUAAAACCGAACAUAUAUUUGCAGACAAGGUGAACUAAAACUGUGAAAAACUGAAUUAUAUUCCUAUUUUCCGCAAGUAUAUAUGUAAAAUUGUGUAACAGGACAUAGGUUUGCCCAAAAAAGGUGAAAAAGAGAACGUUUGACCUGGGCAAUUUCGAUAAAGGUUGGUCCCUCCCUCGCUGUCAUUUUCAAUAGCCAACAUCACAUUUCUGAUCUCAUUGUUUUGGAUUAUUGCACUCCUGCUAUGAGUCCAGUCGGUGCAGCUGCACUGAGAUGCAAUAAUAAUCUGAGUUAGAAUCCCAAUAGUAACUUUAGUGGUUGCGUACUUAAUAAUAAUAUUGACAUGUGAAUACUGUUGAAAGUUGAACACUUUGGUUCAGAGCGUGCAUGUAACGCCAGAGAUGAAAGAAACCAUCUAUCUUACCUCACCUUGGUCCCCUCCCCUCCCCUCUUCCCCUAUUCCAAAUUGGAUCGUACGGAAUGUGGAGAACCCCACCAAAAAUCUAUGAUGGUAAAAGUUGUUGGAUUUGUCUCAGGAGCCGUGCCCCUCAUGUGCCGCCACAGCCAGAGUCUUUUGAGGAGGAGCCUCCGCAGGUAAUGAUAUCCAAAUGGAUGGCGACUUGACAACAGUGUCAGAUGAUUUCCUCUUCAAUCCCACCCAUUCCAACAAGCCCAACAAUUUUUAAGAAAUAAUAAUAAUAAUCACAGUUCCCUUUCAAGUUUCAGCCCCUCAACUUUCACACUUUUGAGGCGAAAGUAUUUACCCUUGGAUGAUAUUAAUCUCGAUGGGCUUUGUUUAAUUUUGUCCUCCUCAACUCGAUGAUCUUUGUAUCCGAGCUGUCUAAUUUUGGGUGAUCAAAACUUACAGCAAUGUUAGUAAAAGACCUUUUUUUUUUGUCAAUCAAAGCAUAAGUGAGAGAUUAAUAACUAAGUUUCCAUAAGUUUGUACACAUGGCAAGAAGUUAUACGACGGGUACACUAUGUGAACCAGAAGAGACACAUACAUAUAUAUACGUAUCGUCUACAGGCCAUAAAUGUCAUAUACUUGGCAGAGGCAAAAAAAAAACAAAACAAAGGCUGUUUAAGACCACCCGUACCCCAUAAAGCAGUGCACUGCACUGCACUGCACUGCACAUCAUAUACUGUAUUACUGCGCUUCUCUGCUCAAGAGAUUGAGGCCUCUGGGAAAGACAACAAGCAUCGUUCCUUGAAAGUCAAGAGGCUUUUGGGAGAGCAGCAGCUCAACAGAGUGAGGCGAGACCUGGUGGGCUUGGGAAAGGGAAAGAUGAGGCACAAAAUAGGGAGGGUAGGGAGGGGCACGUACACUUUGCUCAUGCAGAUCGGGACAUUCCUCCUCCUUCCCAUGCACCUGAGAGCAAAGUUUGGCAGUGGCUCGCAAAUCCCGGUUAAUGCUAAUGCAGGUGGUAACGUUUCGGGAGGCUCCUAUCUGCACAGUUCAGUGCACACCCUUCGCUGCUGUUGAUAUGAAAGUGAUAUCAAACUCAAAAGGAAACAAAGACGACAGCACCAGCUUUUUACUGCAAUGGCUAUUUGUUUACAUCCCACGCGGUUUGACCCUAAUGUACAACGGACAAGCUGUUGUUCCCUGUUAUUUUUUUCCCUUAUCAGAAGCUUGCCUUUUCACCUCAUGGGUGGGACAGUUAUUUAAAAGACUUGUUCUCGAGGGAAAUCUAACACACACAAGAUACGUAUAUCAGUAUGUAUCAUUCUACUUUUGAUGUAAUACUCGGCAUGAGUAUGAGGAGGUUGUAACAGUGUCAACUAAUCCUUCGCACCAGAAGAACACAGAUAUAUGUGUGUGUUACUUGGCAGAUGUAUUUACUGCAUUUCCAAUUUUCCCAUGCGGUUUCUAUGACUAUCUAAAUCAGCUUGUGUGCUCAAAAGUGGUCAUAUGCCAACACAUCAACUAGUACGUUCAAAGAAGCAAGGAACCCAAGGUUUGAAUAAUGCUUAUUAUGUGUGUGGUGACAAUAGGUCAUAAGAUAAAAGAUGUGAUGAUCAAUGUUUCAAUAUAACAGUAGAAAUGACUCUCGCCUUUGGCGCUGUGUGUGGUAAUACUGAGCUACCUUGGUCAUGUCCUUUUAAUCAUCUGAUCGAUCAUUAUGGUAUCAUUUUCCACGAUUAUCCCCCUUGAUAGUGAUGAUGAAAUCAAAAGGAUAGCUCUAAUAAGGACCCACUGAAUCCUAAUAAUUUCUCUUCGGUUUUUUAGUUUUCCAUGCAGUGCUCAAAACAUCUCUUCUUCUAGUUUCCUAGUUCUGAAAGUUUUGUCCAUCCUUACCAUAACAUAUUCUAUAAAACUUCAAGAUUGGUCUACCAUGAGUUUACAAGAAUAAUUAUAAAAAGACAGAUAGAAGGAGGGGGAGAGAGAAAGAGAGAGAGAGAGAGAGAGAGAGAGAGUUUAGACUUGUUGUUUUCUUAUUGUCCUGCUCUGCUUGUUGUGAACCUCCAGAUACACUGUUAUAACUAAAGAUUUAAAAGGGAGAUGAGGUAGAAGGAAGAGGGAUGAAGUGGUAGGACGACAGCAGCUUGGCAAAGCGCCGAGAUGCCCGAUGGAGGUACAGAGACAGGUGCUGGGCAAACAUCCGGCAACGAGAGACACAAAGAGGACGGAGAAGGAAAGAUUUCGAAGUCACGUGAGACGGGCAAGGAAAAGCUUCCCCUUCUCUCCCGUUCCUUCCCGUCUCUCCCUAUCACACACCCCCCACACCAACACCCCCCCCCCCCGUCCACGGUCCAGUCUCGACUGUCAGUCAUGAGGCAGUAGCUAUUCUUAGAAAUCUAUCUAUCACAUCUCAUUUACUCAGCCCCACUCCCCCCUUCCCUCCGGUGGAUAAAAGGGAGAAAAAUUGGUGGGUGGACGCACCAGCAAGGAAAGAACCAUGUCAAUUUCAGAGCUGGGACCACAUUAAUGUAUUGAGGAAUUUGAUGAGAGGUGAUCGGAACUAUGGCUAUGCAGACUGCUACAACUUGUCAUCCCCAUAACCCAAUCACCAUGUAAGAGUAGAAAACAGUACUCCCAUCAUAUCAGAUACAAGAUAUGGAUCUUCGCAUCAGAGGAGAAAGAAAAAUAAAAAAAAUGUAGUAAAAGAGAGAGAGAGAGAGAGAGAGAGAGAGAGAGAGAGAGACAGAGACAGAGAGAUCGAGGAAGAAAAGAAGUCCUGGAGCUCAGGUUCGUAUUGAUGGCUUUCUGGUAGAUAACGAGGCUAAUCUGAAUCGAACCCGAUCCAACCAAAUCGACAGUACCACCCGGAUUGGUCAAAUGUAGUUGAGAGCGCAACGGCACCCCGAAGCUGAAGGUACAACUCCGUGAUGGCCCUAUGAUGCAGAGGCUCCAUCUUUAGACCAGAGACCUACCACACCCCUUCUUAACUAAAUAUCCAAGCAUCACUUUGUAAGAGGUGCCCUUGUCCUUAUUGUCUUCCAGGGGAUGAUCCCCUUGCUGUGAAGGACACCAUGCUGACGUGGUACACCCACCACCGCCUCCCCCCCCAUUCCUUCUCCUCAGGGAUUCAGUGGAGGGGGUAGAGAGAUGACAGAUGGGUGAGUGAGUGUGUGGGGCUUACAUGGAACCUUGCCUCGAAAUUAUUCAAGCAGCACGAGGGCUGGGUUAGAAAGCAAUGAAGCAAUGUGAACGGGGAGCAACGUAGGGUUUGUAGGGGGAGGAAGAGCCAAGGCAACGUCCCUCUCAACACUGCUCCAAAGCCCCCAACAAAUAAAGGCUACUGUUGCUGAUCCCCCAAAGCCGAAGACACUCGUCUUCUAUCAGUCACAUUAACCAAGGUGCUCUUGCCCCCUUGCAUCGCAUAAGAAAAAAGAAACGAGGGACAAGAGGGGACGAUAGAGAGAGAGAGAGAGAGAGCGAGAGUGUGUGGAGAGAGAGAAAGAGACGGCUGGUCAAAUGACAAACUGAUUGAGAACUUUCAAGCACUUUCUCUCUCCACCCCGCUUUAAAAACACAGCCUUGUCUACAGUGCAGUAGCAAACUGCAGUUUUUGGUCUCAAAGCACCACACCCUCUCGUCCAUCUCCUUGGCUUUCAUUUUUUGUUUCCCUUCAGCUGGACGCUUCUUGUUCCGCUUUCUUCUCCUUAGCUGCAAUACCAUGUAAAGUUCUAUACCAUCCUUUAAACUUCUCUUACCUAUUCUCGUUUGAUGAUGAAGAACCAUGAUGAGUUGGGUGCAGGAGACUAGAAGGGAACCCGCUAGACCUCAAUAGCUUGCCAGAGGAACAUGGUAAGCAACCGCUAGAGGAAAGCUCGAUGACUACUGCAGCUUCCGCUGACAUUACGCGUAAGUAGGAAUCGACAAGGAAGAAAGUUUAAGCAGUGAUGUGAUCUAGAUUGGAACAUUUGUCUAAUGAGGACUGAGAAAUUGAAUACAACAGAGGGGGGAAAGAACAAAAACAGAGAGAAAGAAAAGUUAUUGCCAUUAUUACUCGCCACCUAACCUGAUCCAAAGAUUGCAGGGUUCAAGAAAAAGAAGAGUGCAGUCAAGGAUGAUUCGGCAAAGGUGUAUGAGUGUCGUUUUUGCUCCCUCAAGUUCUGCAAAUCUCAAGCGCUGGGCGGGCACAUGAACCGGCAUCGCCAAGGCAAGACGAUGACCGCAUAGUAGUGUUGUUGCACCAUAGAAAGCGUUGAUGUGACAUUGUUGAUGAGUAUCUUCUUUUUACCACUUCUUCCCCCAUUCCCGACACUAGCAGCGCCUACUGACUCAUGUUCCCAUUUUCAACUCUUUCGUUAGAGAGGGAGACGGAGACGCUCAAUCGUGCUCGUCAGCUGGUGUUCAGCAACGACGGUGCCAUCGGGUAUGUGCUGUCUCCUCUCAUUCUAUCCUUCCUCUCUUAGCAUGAGUAAGCUAGGGUUUUCAUUCUAUCUACGUGCAACACCUCUUUUCCUCCUUCAGUAGUAGUAGUACAUUGGUAGGCUGCAACGUAAUAUCAUCUUAUAUGGCACAGUUUAGGGCUAAAGAUGUCUCCUUUCCUUGAUUCAAAAACAUUGGCAUACCACUGAUCUUGUUCGUCCCUUGAAUAAUAAAAGCUUGAGGGAUCCUAGUACUGGAGGCUCACAAAUCCCUCCUGGGGGCUUCCAACAUAGAGGCGGCAGCAUCGGAGAAGCAUGUGUGCAAUUCCAACCCGUCUACCCAGGUCUCCCAAACCCGCCACCAGUGUCACAGUACCUGCACCCUUCCUCCUCCUCACGCUCGCUUCCGCAUCCACCGGCCUACCAACCUCCUCAUCCGCAUUACUACAUCGGUCAUGUCAUCUCAGGGAGUUCCCAACGCCAGCCGCGUCACCACGGCUAUAGUCCUGAUCCCAGCUUUACUUGCUAUGGAGCUCCAGUUUCUCAUAGCUUCCCCCCCGUGGAAGAAGGACGAGCACCAACAGUCAGAGGCAACCAACUCAGAUGAGAGCGUAACUGGGAUCGUAGUUAGGGACGUGUCCACCAUAACUUGCAUUGUUGAGUGAACCGUCAGCACCAGGAAUGGCCUUAACUUAUACAUCUUAAUUUGAUGGAAAGAAAAUGUCACGAAGAAUGACAACCUAAGUGAAAAGUUGUGUGGUUCAUGUGCUGUUUCUCUAACUUGCGUCUUGGUUUUUGACACUGAAGGCUGUGAAACAAGGGGUUGAUGUUAACUUCCAUGGCGGCACUGUUCUCUCUCUCUCUCUCUCUCUCUCUCCAGUUUGGUCAACUUACGAUGUGAUGCAGUUGUUAGAUGAAGGUUUGUUGGGACAAUAGGAGAAAUGGCCUAGAGAAUGAAGGCCGCAAGAGUUCCAACCCACUUGUGUAUUAUUAUUAUUAUUUAACUCCCUUGCCUUUUUAGUUUUUCGAGCAUGGCUUGUCCAAGCUUAAUUCUCCUAAGAGUUUGUGGGUGCUACCGGACACUUUAAUCGGUGAACAAAGGUUUACCAAAUAGGUGAUAAGGGCAAAGCCACCUACCCUAUACUUGCAGCUUGAGCAGUCUGUCGACACAUCCUACCAAGAAACCAAACCAAACGAGAUAAUGGUAACAAAGGAUAGCUUCUCCGUCUUCUCUACUACUGCAAGGCACGUGACCACUAGAAUCCAGGUCCCAAAUCAAUUUACUAUUGAAAAGAUGUCAUGAUUAUGGAUUGGAGGAUUCCUGCUUCGACUACAUGAAAAUUUUCGAUGAUAUCGGUCGGCUAGAGAGUUUAUCUUUUGGGCUACCUGCCUUUGUUGCCCAAUGCAGAGGCUCCCACCAAUAAGGGUGGUCAACGUUAGUAUGCAAUCCUUUCUUUUCUAAGACAUAAACAUGUUAUUUCUGCGGAUCGAACCUUUUGUUGCCAAAGUCACAUGGGAAUAACUUUCCCAUUGCACUAAAACUCCCCCUCCUUAUCUCAACUAGAUAAUUUGUUUCAUUAAACAAUUUAAUACUUCAAAUUUUCACCAGCCUAUCAAUCAAUCAAAAUUUUUCCUAUGUCAUCUUUUGGAUUGGAAGGACCUCAUGCAAAAUCCAAUGGGACACCAAAACCUGUCUGUUUGCGACCUACAGCAACUGAUGCGAGCGAACACAUGAUUUUGCAUAUAAGGCAAACAAUCAGUAGUUCAGGGAACUCUUAACAGAAAGCUAGAGGAUAUUUCGGAUCAUAAAUAAAAAGUACAACUUCAACUUCAACUACAGAAAGUUGAGACUUCACAGUAAAUAACUAACAAAAAAAUUUUAAAAAUAACCUUUUGAAGAAUGCAUGCAUUUACUUUUAUCCUACAAAGCUAAGGAAUAACUAAAUCAGCACAAUAGCUCAUGAGCUUCAAUUUAAAUGCACCAAACGCUUUUAGACACGUAUAAGAAUGCAUGCAGCAGUAUCUUCACCUAAUUCUAUGAAUAACCAAAAUGGAUUUCUUUAAAAGACUAUUAUUAACCUUUUAGCUCAAAAGCUGUAAUGCUCAGCCAAAUUAGACGGACAAAUAAGACCUUUGGCUUUCGGUCUAAUUGGAGUUCAAUUGUUUCUACUUCUUUUCCACAAGUAGAUACGGUCUAAUCUCGGUGUUAGCUUUAACUUCUACCAUAUGCAUGCUAGCAGACACUAAUAUUAUGUCACUGACCCACGAUGAAAACACAAGUGCUACUAUGAAAUGACAUUGGGAAAAAUGAAGAAUUAGCUUACUUGCAUAGCCAACAAGCUGCAACAAACUGUACACUGCUAUUCAUCGAUGAUUUCUGCACAGGAAAAAUGGCCAUUCGUUUAGAAAUUUCAGACCAAUUUCAUCUUGCUUUUGCGGUCUCAUUUUUUUUAUUAGACGAAGGAUAAACAAUAUGCAAAUACUGUUGCAACAGCGGAAGUGAAACUGUCAGAUGUUAUUAAAACCAUGGUAUAAAUUUGUUCCUCAAAUGGUGAACUUUUCGGAGCUUGUAACAGAAUAUGAUAAAAAAGAUGAAUUUGUUCCUCAAAAAAGGUUUCCAUUUUUUAUUAUUCUUUCAUGUUCAACAAGGAUGUGAUAUAUCAUGACAUUAUAUGAUGGAAGGACUGAUGCAUUAAUCUGAUAGGCCUGAAAUUAUAUGACUCAAAAUGCCUAAAUUCAACUUAAUCAUAAUAAACUUAAGUAGCUCCAUGUAAUAAUCAUGUCCAUCUUCUUCCCACUCGAUCAGAUAAUACAAUCUCCUCCACUAAAGGUUUGAGGUCCUUGACACAGCUCAAACCAAUGUGAAGUCUAGAAUCAUCCUAGUAGGGUAUGUGAGGUUUAGUCCACUGGUGGCCGCGUGCUAUGAUAAAUGACAAGACUUCACAUUUGGUGCCUAAGAGGAGGCUUGAUCAUACCAAUGCUACAUGCACUUCAGAAAGAGAAGAAAUAGCUCACAAUAAAUAAUAAGGUCGUAUGGUUUACGUAUGGCUCUGGUCUGUCCUGACAUAGAGCUGUUACACUGCAGCUUAAGAUCUGACAAGAUGAUCUAUGAAUACUUUUGACAUGGCAAUGACAAAGAUUUUGUGAUCAAAUAAUGCACAGAUCAUAUUCAUGUAGACCUAAUCAUGUACUCUUUAAACAGAGUAAUCAUUCUGACAGGUGUCACAAUGAGCUUCAAGUGUCGUCUCAUCAGAUUCAUCUUCAAGUGGAGAAUGAAAUCAGUGGAAACUUCACGUCAAAAAAAUGAAAUCCGUCCGCUAAAGGCAUAUGUCUCAUCCGAGCUUGCUUUCAUCUCAUAUAAAAGUUGAUCACUAAAGUAUCGAAAUCAGCCACAUCGGGUGGAACUUUUAGUGGCAGAAAGACCUGAAAGAAGAAACAUUUACUGGUUCUGCUCUAGCUGUAAUGCUGGGGGCCAACAAGACUUUGCAUAGGCUAAAUCAAUAUAUAUAUAUAUAAAGGUAAUUGAGUUCUGUUUAGCCCAUUUAACCUAUAGUUGCAUUACCCUUAUAGUUGAAACCAUUGCAAAUAAAUAGUACUUCACUAGUUACAAGUAUGUCUUAUCUAAAACAUGACUUAGACUAAGUCAAUCCACUGAGGUAGAGCUAUAGAUUAGAACCCUUAAUCCCUACCACUAAAAGAGUCAUCUUGAGCAUGCUAUGCUGUGACAAAAAUAGAAGAAUGUGAAAAACAGGAUGAGAAGGAGCAGAGGAAACAUGGGUAUGCACUCUUUCAUUACCCUUUCUUCAUUUCAGCGUAUACAUUUAUUUUCCUUGUGACAAAUUGGCCAGCACCAGGCAGCAUACUGGUAGUACCCGCAUAUAGAACUAAGGGAUGCAUUAACAUUAAGACAAUCUUUGUUAACCAAUUUAGAUAUAUCAAUUCAUUCAAUAUAUCUCAAUUGAAAAGAAAAAGAAGUUGUGCACAAGAAAGAAAGUUGAGAACCAAUUUAGAACAAAACUUACUUCUGUGUUUAAGAUACUCUUCCUAUGGAGGAAUCUUUUUUGGUCUAACGAUCCGAUUGACGUAGUGAGACAAAGAAAAUAUCAGGUCUAAGUGAAGGCCCUCUUGUCCAAAACCUCAUUUAAGAGAGAAAGAAAUUUGUGUGAUUUCAAAUCCAGGCUCGUCUGGGAUUUCGUCAUUAAAAAAAGGAUCUGGUUACUGUUUUAACAUUAAGCAUGUCAAACCAGGUCAACUAAAUUUGGUUCUGGGCUGGGGACAAGUCACAUGUUGUUCCAUGCUAUUUUCUUGAGGAACUGCAGAUUGCUUAUUACUGUUAAUUUUACAAAAUUUGGUCUUGGGUCCUAUUAAUUAAGGCUAUCCAAUUAUGUAGAUCAAUGCCAUACAUCAUAUUUCAACAAAAUCAAGUUCAGUUUGGGUCAUCCAAAAUAACCAUGUUUGAUGUCUGACAAGAAAUGUGUUCAAAGUCUAGGUUGAAUCCAGAUAUGUUUUUGGCAGUAGUAAAACUUUACAAAGUUUUUCAAACCCAAUCCCAAUCUGGACCUGGUUUUUUGCCAUCUACUCUUCUUGUCUGGAAUCAAGAUUGAAAGUGAUUUGUGAUUGAUGUUUUACCGAAUUAUCCUCAUAUAUCAUCCAUCAUUCAGUUCCUAAAUUGCAAAAUCUAUUAUAUAAUCAACCUAGAAGUGAUCCACUUAUCAAUCUAGAAAAUGUCAAAAACCCAUGUCCUAAAUUUGCAAAACAAAGUAGAAAAAUCAUGCAAAUUCUAGUGUUAUAUGGUUCUUGCCUUUACAAACGAUUCAUGGAUUGUUAGCUAAUGAACACCUUUACAAAGGAGCAUAGAAAAUCACCAACAAAAAGUAAAAGAACAAAAACUGAUUAAUCGAAACAAAGAUGUCAAACACUCAAUUCAUGGACUGCCAAAUAGCACAUUUCUAUUAGCCCAGGAAUGUGUGUAACGAUCUGGUGAUACACGCUACAUAAACAUUAUUUCAACAGCUAAUUCAAGAAACCCAAACCCUAAAAGAAGUGUGACAAAUAUCUAAACAUCAACGCAAAUUCAAGAAUUGCCGAUAUGUUUUCCAUAGUUAGAAGAAUUUGAAGUUAAUUGAAGUCGAUAAACACAUAUUUGGGAUCAUCAGAUUGAUGAUUGAGGAGUUGUCAAGCAAAAUACGAUCGUUUUAGUCCGAUCGCGAAAUCAGGAUAAUGGUAUUCCCAUUUCCAAGCUCGCUCUUUCCAAACCGAAGAAUUCGAUGAAAUUAUGUAAUGGUGCACUCCAAUUUCCUUUUUUAUUUUCUUCUUUUUGUUCCGAACAAGCUGAAAGCCCAGAAUUUGAGAUGAAAUGUCAUUCUGACAUUAAGAACGAAUUGAUAAUAUGAAGCAUGAAUUGGAGUGGCGAAGCAUAUGGUAUAGCAUCCCUUAUCACGAACAAUGAAGCUAACGAUUUCCCAUUUCGAAUAGAAAAUACACGGAUCAAACCAAAGAACGAGAGAGGUAAUUCUCCUACCGACCUGGAACAAGCGGCCGUCGGUUCCCGGCAAGCGGGUCCUCGAAGGCGUGGCAGAAACCUCGGCGCUCGCCGGCCUCCCCACGAAUACAUGAUACAUCCUCUCCGUGAGCCGCCCGCGCACACUCCUCAAGAACACUUCCGUCUCCAUCCCCAUCACCACAGGUCUCCCGAAUCGAUUCUCUCUCCCCCCGUUCUCCCCUGGGCUUGCUCUUCUUGUUGGUCG
Molecule: long non-coding RNA, 10588 nt
Filed under: Musa acuminata (dwarf banana)
Lineage: Eukaryota; Viridiplantae; Streptophyta; Magnoliopsida; Zingiberales; Musaceae
Description: long non-coding RNA (MACU_LNC001006)
Source: RNAcentral